UCAGCUCUCAGCAGAGCAGAGGCCCUGGAGU
RNAcentral lists this non-coding RNA (31 nucleotides) under Homo sapiens (human). The record is from RNAcentral. Lineage: Eukaryota; Metazoa; Chordata; Mammalia; Primates; Hominidae.